AACGCACCUUGCGCUCCCUGGUAUUCCGGGGAGCAUGCCUGUUUGAGUGUCAUUAAAUUCUCAACCUCUCCAGUUUUUACUAGCUGGUCUGGCUUGGAUGUGGGGGUUGCGGGCUUCUCAGAAGUCGGCUCUCCUUAAAUGAAUUAGCGAAACCUUUGUUGACCAUCCUAUGGUGUGAUAAUUAUCUACGCCACAGUGAUAUCAGCUUUAUUAUGGGGUUCUGCUUCUAACCGUCCUCUUGGGGACAACUCUUGACAUUUUGACCUCAAAUCAGGUAGGACUACCCGCUGAACUUAA
RNAcentral lists this unclassified non-coding RNA (297 nucleotides) under uncultured Tephrocybe. Its description in RNAcentral is "sequence contains ITS2". The stretch from base 1 to 52 matches the Rfam family "5.8S ribosomal RNA", at positions 103 to 154 of the family's 154-position model. The record is from RNAcentral. Lineage: Eukaryota; Fungi; Basidiomycota; Agaricomycetes; Agaricales; Tricholomataceae.